AUCACUUCUCAGCCUUUUGGCUAAGAUCAUGUGUAGUAUCUGUUCUUAUCAGUUUAAAAAUAUAUUUAUUUGAAAGAGUUUGAACUGUGGUUAUGCAACAAGGUGGAGGAAUACACCAUAGGGGGAGGGCUUGGGGAGGGGUGGGGAGAAUCCCAGUACCU
This is a small nuclear RNA of Ochotona princeps (American pika), 161 nucleotides long. Its record names the gene U2. It matches the Rfam family "U2 spliceosomal RNA". From Rfam's summary of the family: U2 is a small nuclear RNA (snRNA) component of the spliceosome (involved in pre-mRNA splicing). Complementary binding between U2 snRNA (in an area lying towards the 5' end but 3' to hairpin I) and the branchpoint sequence (BPS) of the intron results the bulging out of an unpaired adenosine, on the BPS, which initiates a nucleophilic attack at the intronic 5' splice site, thus starting the first of two transesterification reactions that mediate splicing. The record is from Ensembl. Lineage: Eukaryota; Metazoa; Chordata; Mammalia; Lagomorpha; Ochotonidae.